This is a long non-coding RNA of Triticum aestivum (bread wheat), 1512 nucleotides long. RefSeq lists it as uncharacterized. Lineage: Eukaryota; Viridiplantae; Streptophyta; Magnoliopsida; Poales; Poaceae. The record is from RefSeq and is a predicted model, not a curated record. The transcript is spliced from 6 exons.
CUUGCCAUUUGUUUCUCCUGCCACCAAAACGUUCGACCCUGUUCUACUCCCUUCAUCUUCGAAUAGCUGGAAGUGGCAUUUCAGUUUCAACUUUUGUUGGUGCUUUCACUCGCUUUUGUGGUUUCACAUCCAGUCUAGGAUUGAUCUUUUUUAUAGUCAUCAAUACAAAAACAAAAAAAUAUAGUUGGUGUUUCCCCCCUUUCGAUUCCUGUUCUCCCACAUAUAAAAAAUAGUCUUUGUUUCUAGUGAUCAACAAAAAAAACCAGAAAUAUAUGUGCUUGUUCCAUUUUUAAUCCCAUUUUUCUUGUCAUUGUUACAAGAGAAAACAAAAAAUCUAUUCUUGGUUUCCCUGUUCAUUGUUUUCCUUUCACAUAUACAAAUAUUCUUUGUUUCUAGUGAUCAAUACAAAAAAAUGAUUGCAUGCUCUACUUCGCCUUUGCUCUUCCACAUCUACACUACAAUCCCCUUUCCCAGUGAUAAACAUUGAUAAAAUAUCAUUUGUGUUUCCCUUUACCAUUGUGUUUCCCUUUACCAUUAUUUCUCAGAUCUGCAAAUACCCAUUUUAUACAGCUCUAGUUUCCAAUUAAGAAAAAUUAUACAAAAACAAAAUUCAUUGGCUUUCCAUCAUUGCCAUUGUGUUAUUCUCAUAUCCAGACUUUGUCCUCUUUUCUCUGGAUAAAUACUGAAAACACAAAACUCAAAAGUGGUUUCAGCUCUCUAGCAAAUACACCGAAAGAUUGUUGGCUUGUCCCACUACCGAGAUAUUUAAAGUAAACCUGGUUGAUCAGACCAUCUCUUGACAUCAAUAUUACGGUGCCUAAUUCAACCACCAGGACCAUACAAGGAAGCUAGCCUGCAACUUUUAAGCAGAAACGUGGACAAUUAAUAUUUAUUUGGCCGCCUACAGUUUAAGUAUUGCUAAUCUAAGAAUCUACGUGACAUUAUCUUAUACAAAGUUAUCCCCAGUCCAGGUUUCUUAGUCGCUGAGAGGAAUCAGUUCCGAAAAAAACAACAAAAAGAUCACUGGCUUUUCCCAAUAUUGAGAUUUUUUAAGUAAUAUAGUUGAUCAGAUCAAUCAUCUCUUGACAUACAGUGUCCCAUUCUACCAGCAGGACUGUAAAAGGAAAUUAGUGUGCGGCUGCCAAGCCAAAUCAAAGAGAAUUAAUUUUGCACACUUCAUUUGAAGUGUGGCUGGAUAUUGUUUCCUGGUGAUCUAGAAGGCAAGAUCUCAAAGGUCAAUUUGUGCAAACUAGCAAGUCUGGUACACUACUGAACAUAAGUCAUGCAUCAUCUUCAUGGAAAAAAUGGCCAGAUCAUGUCCGGGAUAAAUGGCGUGAUGAUCUGAGAGAUAUAGAUUUUUGGUUUAAUGCAUACCGUGAGACGAAAGCAUAUAUGCAGUUGGACGCUGAUAUGGCCCGCUUUUAUCUCGUGGGUUGGAAUGUUGGGGUGGGGCCCAUGGCUUCAUACACACGAGCCAUAUCAGGUCUGGCCGAGGAGACAAUCCUUAUACAC